AGUUCCAAAACAUCUGGGGUGCCUAGGUUCGCCAUCACUGUGACCUAGGCUGUCUCAGAUGAGUGUAGUAUCCAGUGUGUGUUGUUGUCAGCUUGUGUUCUUGUGAAUGAAGCCCCCUUUUCUCCAGCUGCAAUCAUUGGCCACACAAGCUGACAGUUUCCACUCUCUCGCUGUUCCCUGAAUAGCAGGCUGCAGCUCCAGACUCUGUGAACCCUGAACAGGAGAGAUGAGGACACAUAGAGCUACAGAAUGGAGAUAAGAUGAGGCUUGUUGCUGGCUGUAGCUUCUCCCCCAUCAUACACCCAUUUUUUUUAGCCUCUAGGGGGGCAGUGGAGCAAUAGCCAGCAACGACAGAAUAGACAGAAAGGAAAGUCCUAAACAUGACCACAUCCAUGGGAAUGGACAGCCAGGGGAGUCACCUGACUGGGAGGAUGUUAGACCUCACCCUGGAGAUCAUCUACCUGCUGACCGGAGAGGAUUACAAAGUUGUAAAAGGGACACCUUUUAGUAAUUGUCCUCAUGGGUCCUCUCCACCAUCAUCCCCGAUACUAGAGACCAACAAGAAGCAGAAGAUUCUAGAAGUCACCAAGAAGAUGAUGGAGCUGCUGACAGGAGA
Long non-coding RNA from Rana temporaria (common frog), 616 nucleotides. RefSeq lists it as uncharacterized. The transcript is spliced from 3 exons. Lineage: Eukaryota; Metazoa; Chordata; Amphibia; Anura; Ranidae. The record is from RefSeq and is a predicted model, not a curated record.